GGAACCGUGCCCGAAUAUUUAGGGAUCACUUUGAUAGAGUGAAAUAUGGGGGUUAAAAUCCCCCCAGUUCUU
RNAcentral lists this transfer RNA (72 nucleotides) under Raiamas steindachneri. RNAcentral's name for it is "tRNA-Ile". It matches the Rfam family "tRNA". Rfam says of the family: Transfer RNA (tRNA) molecules are approximately 80 nucleotides in length. Their secondary structure includes four short double-helical elements and three loops (D, anti-codon, and T loops). Lineage: Eukaryota; Metazoa; Chordata; Actinopteri; Cypriniformes; Danionidae. The record is from RNAcentral.